RNAcentral lists this ribosomal RNA (253 nucleotides) under uncultured bacterium. RNAcentral's name for it is "partial 16S ribosomal RNA". It matches the Rfam family "Bacterial small subunit ribosomal RNA", at positions 524 to 776 of the family's 1533-position model. The record is from RNAcentral.
UACGUAGGGGGCAAGCGUUGUCCGGAUUUAUUGGGCGUAAAGAGCGUGUAGGCGGCUUUACAGGUCCGUUGUGAAAACUCGAGGCUCAACCUCGAGACGCCGGUGGAAACCGUAAGGCUAGAGUACGGAAGAGGCGAGUGGAAUUCCUGGUGUAGCGGUGGAAUGCGCAGAUAUCAGGAGGAACACCAAUAGCGAAGGCAGCUCGCUGGGACGUUACUGACACUAAGGCGCGAAAGCGUGGGGAGCGAACAGG